CUAAUUCUUUUAAUUGUGAUGUUAGGGUGUCAAUUUUAGCCCUCCCAAGAUCUGAAAUCUGAGAGGCUCCAACGAACAUUUUAUUUGAGGGUCAAAAAUGUUCAUAUUUUGGAGCAUUUUGGAUUUCAGAUUUUUGGAUUUUGGAUGCUCAGCCUGUACCAUUUAUCGUGGUUAGGAUUUGGGACAGUGGGUGCAGCGCACCGAGAGUGAGCUGAAGCAGGGUGAGGCAUUGCCUCACCCAGGAAGCGCAAGUAAAUGUCCCUGUCUGACAGCCUUGAAGAGAGUAGUGGUUCUACCAGCACGCAGCUGGACAUCUGAGAACAGACAGACUGCCGCAAAUCAAUCAACAUAAUCCAGCAUAUAAACAGAACCAAAGACAAAAACCAUAUGAUUAUCUCAAAUAAUAAGAGCUAUCUAUGACACCCACAGCCAAUAUCAUACUGAAUGGGCAAAAACUGGAAGCAUUCCCUUUGAAAACUGGCACAAGACAGGGAUGCCCUCGCUAACCACUCCUAUUCAACAUAGUGUUGGAAGUUCUAGCCAGGGUAAUCAGGCAGGAGAAGGAAAUAAAGGGUAUUCA
RNAcentral lists this long non-coding RNA (580 nucleotides) under Homo sapiens (human). RNAcentral describes it as "non-protein coding lnc-RASGRP3-15:1". The record is from RNAcentral. Lineage: Eukaryota; Metazoa; Chordata; Mammalia; Primates; Hominidae.